GAAACGACUGCUAAGACUGGAUAGGGGACAAGAAGGCAUCUUCUUGUUUUUAAAAGACCUAGCAAUAGGUAUGCUUAGGGAGGAGCUUGCGUCACAUUAGUUAGUUGGUGGGGUAAAGGCCUACCAAGACUAUUAUGUGUAGCCGGGCUGAGAGGUUGAACGGACACAUUGGGACUGAGACACGGCCCAAACUCCUACGGGAGGCAGCAGUAGGGAAUUUUCGGCAAUGGAGGAAACUCUGACCGAGCAACGCCGCGUGAACGAUGAAGUAUUUCGGUACGUAAAGUUCUUUUAUUAGGGAAGAAUAAAUGAUGGAAAAAUCAUUCUGACGGUACCUAAUGAAUAAGCCCCGGCUAACUAUGUGCCAGCAGCCGCGGUAAUACAUAGGGGGCAAGCGUUAUCCGGAAUUAUUGGGCGUAAAGGGUGCGUAGGCGGUUAAAUAAGUUUAUGGUCUAAGUGCAAUGCUCAACAUUGUGAUGCUAUAAAAACUGUUUAGCUAGAGUAAGAUAGAGGCAAGUGGAAUUCCAUGUGUAGUGGUAAAAUGCGUAAAUAUAUGGAGGAACACCAGUAGCGAAGGCGGCUUGCUGGGUCUUUACUGACGCUGAGGCACGAAAGCGUGGGGAGCAAACAGGAUUAGAUACCCUGGUAGUCCACGCCGUAAACGAUGAGUACUAAACGUUGGGUAAAACCAGUGUUGAAGUUAACACAUUAAGUACUCCACCUGAGUAGUACGUACGCAAGUAUGAAACUUAAAGGAAUUGACGGGACUCCGCACAAGCGGUGGAUCAUGUUGUUUAAUUCGAAGGUACCCGAAAAACCUCACCAGGUCUUGACAUGCUUCUGCAAAGCUGUAGAAACACAGUGGGGGUUAUCAGUUGCACAGGUGGUGCAUGGUUGUCGUCAGCUCGUGUCGUGAGAUGUUGGGUUAAGUCCCGCAUCGAGCGCAACCCUUAUUGUUAGUUACCAGCACGUAAUGGUGGGGACUUUAGCAAGACUGCCAGUGAUAAAUUGGAGGAAGGUGGGGAUGACGUCAAAUCAUCAUGCCCCUUAUGACCUGGGCUACAAACGUGAUACAAUGGCUGUUACAAAGGGUAGCUGAAGCGCAAGUUUUUGGCGAAUCUCAAAAAAACAGUCUCAGUUCGGAUUGAAGUCUGCAACUCGACUUCAUGAAGUUGGAAUCGCUAGUAAUCGCGAAUCAGCAUGUCGCGGUGAAUACGUUCUCCGGGGUUUGUACACACCGCCCGUCA
This 1247-nucleotide ribosomal RNA is filed under the name Mexican potato purple top phytoplasma. Its description in RNAcentral is "bacterial SSU rRNA". It matches the Rfam family "Bacterial small subunit ribosomal RNA", at positions 153 to 1399 of the family's 1533-position model. The record is from RNAcentral. Lineage: Bacteria; Bacillati; Mycoplasmatota; Mollicutes; Acholeplasmatales; Acholeplasmataceae.